GACGAACGCUGGCGGCGUGCCUAAUACAUGCAAGUCGAACGCUUCUUUCCUCCCGAGUGCUUGCACUCAAUUGGAAAGAGGAGUGGCGGACGGGUGAGUAACACGUGGGUAACCUACCCAUCAGAGGGGGAUAACACUUGGAAACAGGUGCUAAUACCGCAUAACAGUUUAUGCCGCAUGGCAUAAGAGUGAAAGGCGCUUUCGGGUGUCGCUGAUGGAUGGACCCGCGGUGCGUUAGCUAGUUGGUGAGGUAACGGCUCACCAAGGCCACGAUGCAUAGCCGACCUGAGAGGGUGAUCGGCCACACUGGGACUGAGACACGGCCCAGACUCCUACGGGAGGCAGCAGUAGGGAAUCUUCGGCAAUGGACGAAAGUCUGACCGAGCAACGCCGCGUGAGUGAAGAAGGUUUUCGGAUCGUAAAACUCUGUUGUUAGAGAAGAACAAGGACGUUAGUAACUGAACGUCCCCUGACGGUAUCUAACCAGAAAGCCACGGCUAACUACGUG
RNAcentral lists this ribosomal RNA (508 nucleotides) under uncultured bacterium. Its description in RNAcentral is "partial 16S ribosomal RNA". It matches the Rfam family "Bacterial small subunit ribosomal RNA", at positions 28 to 507 of the family's 1533-position model. The record is from RNAcentral.